AGCGACGCCGCGUGGGGGAUGAAGGGCUUCGGCUCGUAAACCCCUGUCAUUUGCGAACAAACCCUCACAUUGAACAGGUGUGAGGUUGAUAGUAGCGAAAGAGGAAGGGACGGCUAACUCUGUGCCAGCAGCCGCGGUAAUACAGAGGUCCCGAGCGUUGUUCGGAUUCACUGGGCGUAAAGGGUGCGUAGGUGGUGGGGUAAGUCUCGUGUGAAAGCUCGCAGCUUAACUGCGAAAAGUCACGGGAUACUAUUCUGCUGGAGGCUUGGAGGGGGGACUGGAAUACUUGGUGUAGCAGUGAAAUGCGUAGAUAUCAAGUGGAACACCAGUGGCGAAGGCGAGUCCCUGGACAAGACCUGACACUGAGGCACGAAAGCCAGGGGAGCAAACGGGAUUAGAUACCCUGGUAGUCCUGGCUGUAAACGGUGCACGUUUGCUGUAAAAGGAAUCGACCCCUUUUGUGGCGAAGCUAACGCGAUAAACGUGCCGCCUGGGAAGUACGGUCGCAAGAUUA
RNAcentral lists this ribosomal RNA (514 nucleotides) under uncultured Verrucomicrobiota bacterium. RNAcentral describes it as "bacterial SSU rRNA". It matches the Rfam family "Bacterial small subunit ribosomal RNA", at positions 390 to 896 of the family's 1533-position model. Lineage: Bacteria; Pseudomonadati; Verrucomicrobiota. The record is from RNAcentral.